AGUGAACGCUGGCGGUAGGCCUAACACAUGCAAGUCGAACGGCAGCACAGUAGGAGCUUGCUCUUACGGGUGGCGAGUGGCGGACGGGUGAGGAAUACAUCGGAAUCUACUUUUUCGUGGGGGAUAACGUAGGGAAACUUACGCUAAUACCGCAUACGACCUACGGGUGAAAGCAGGGGAUCUUCGGACCUUGCGCGAUUGAAUGAGCCGAUGUCGGAUUAGCUAGUUGGCGGGGUAAAGGCCCACCAAGGCGACGAUCCGUAGCUGGUCUGAGAGGAUGAUCAGCCACACUGGAACUGAGACACGGUCCAGACUCCUACGGGAGGCAGCAGUGGGGAAUAUUGGACAAUGGGCGCAAGCCUGAUCCAGCCAUACCGCGUGGGUGAAGAAGGCCUUCGGGUUGUAAAGCCCCUUUGUUGGGAAAGAAAAGCAGCAGGUUAAUACCCCGCUGUUCUGACGGUACCCAAAGAAUAAGCACCGGCUAACUUCGUG
This 492-nucleotide ribosomal RNA is filed under the name uncultured bacterium. Its description in RNAcentral is "partial 16S ribosomal RNA". It matches the Rfam family "Bacterial small subunit ribosomal RNA", at positions 29 to 507 of the family's 1533-position model. The record is from RNAcentral.